Long non-coding RNA from Oncorhynchus keta (chum salmon), 689 nucleotides. RefSeq lists it as uncharacterized. NCBI's taxonomy places the organism in Eukaryota, Metazoa, Chordata, Actinopteri, Salmoniformes, Salmonidae. The record is from RefSeq and is a predicted model, not a curated record. The transcript is spliced from 3 exons.
GGUGGCAGGGUAGCCUAGUGGUUUGAGUGUAGAGGUGGCAGGGUAGCCUAGUGGUUUGAGUGUAGAGGUGGCAGGGUAGCCUAGUGGUUUGAGUGUAGAGGUGGCAGGGUAGCCUAGUGGUUUGAGUGUAGAGGUGGCAGGGUAGCCUAGUGGUUUGAGUGUAGAGGUGGCAGGGUAGCCUAGUGGUUUGAGUGUAGAGGUGGCAGGGUAGCCUAGUGGUUAGAGUGUAGAGGUGGCAGGGUAGCCUAGUGGUUAGAGUGUAGAGGUGGCAGGGUAGCCUAGUGGUUAGAGUGUAGAGGUGGCAGGGUAGCCUAGUGGUUAGAGUGUAGAGGUGGCAGGGUAGCCAAGUGGUUAUAGCGUUGGACCGGAAGGUUGCAAGUUCAAACCCCUGAGCUGACAAGGUACAAAUCUGUCGUUCUGCCCAUGAACAGGCAGUUAACCCACUGUUCCUAGGCUGUCAUUGAAAAUAAGAAUUUGUUCUUAACUCACUUGCCUGGUUAAAUAAAUAAAGGUAAAAAAUUGAAGAACUUUUUUUGAUGAAGGUCCCUUGCUGUUUUUGAUGACUAGCAUAAACAGUUGAAGAGCAGGACUAUUCUGAAAAAUGUCAACACUUGUUGAAUUCUAGUGUACAGACAGUAUAAACCAGCCUUUAGUUUUACAGUAGACAGGAAUUGUCUUAAAUAUACAAU